CAAUGAAUGAGGCUCCGUUGUUUCAACGCAUUCAAAGGAUCACGGCCAUUUGCGACUAAAAAGCCCUAUACAGAUUGACCAACUAUGGUUUGCAUGCCCUGCCGAAGGACCCUAUCAUCAUGCGGAAUAGGUGGUUGAAGUUGGUUGGUCCCCAGUGGUGACAAAGUGCCCAGUUGGGGGCCAGACUGAUCCCCUGGCCAUGAACAGUUGGGUGCCAGACUGAUCCCCUGGUCAACAGAUGCCAGGACCUACCAGAAGGAGCAAAGCUUGUCAGGCAAGACCUCAGAAUAAAAGUGAGUGAUGCUUCACACGUACCCUUCUGACACCUCCUCCGUUGUUGCCAGUCUGACACCUCCUCCGUUGUUGCCAGUCUGACACCUCCUCCGUUGUUGCCAGUCUGACACCUCCUCCAUUGUUGCCAGUCUGACACCUCCUCCAUUGUUGCCAGUCUGACACCUCCUCCAUUGUUGCCAGUCUGACACCUCCUCCAUUGUUGCCAGUCUGACACCUCCUCCAUUGUUGCCAGUCUCCCUCCACUCCAAUGAAUAGGAUACGCCAUCAUGAGGCAUCUGAUAGUGACGGCCCUGAUUACACAGACGGCUUCAUCAACGGGUAACCCUAACCCUAACCCUAACCCUAACCCUAACCCUAACCCUAACCCAAUGAAUAGGAUACGCCAUCAUGAGGCAUCUGAUAGUGACGGCCCUGAUUACACAGACGGCUUCAUCAACGGGUAACCCUAACCCUAACCCUAACCCUAACCCAAUGAAUAGGAUAGGCCAUCAUGAGGCAUCUGAUAGUGACAGCCCUGAUUACACAGACGGCUUCAUCAACGGGUAACCCUAACCCUAACCCUAACCCUAACCCAAUGAAUAGGAUACGCCAUCUUGAGGCAUCUGAUAGUGACGGCCCUGAUUACACAGACGGCUUCAUCAACGGGUAACCCUAACCCUAACCCUAACCCUAACCCUAACCCUAACCCUAACCCAAUGAAUAGGAUAGGCCAUCAUGAGGCAUCUGAUAGUGACGGCCCUGAUUACACAGACGGCUUCAUCAACGGGUAACCCUAACCCUAACCCUAACCCUAACCCUAACCCAAUGAAUAGGAUACGCCAUCAUGAGGCAUCUGAUAGUGACGGCCCUGAUUACACAGACGGCUUCAUCAACGGGUAACCCUAACCCUAACCCUAACCCUAACCCAAUGAAUAGGAUACGCCAUCAUGAGGCAUCUGAUAGUGACGGUCCUGAUUACACAGACGGCUUCAUCAACGGGUAACCCUAACCCUAACCCUAACCCUAACCCUAACCCUAACCCAAUGAAUAGGAUACGCCAUCAUGAGGCAUCUGAUAGUGACGGCCCUGAUUACACAGACGGCUUCAUCAACGGGUAACCCUAACCCUAACCCUAACCC
Molecule: long non-coding RNA, 1412 nt
Organism: Coregonus clupeaformis (lake whitefish)
Lineage: Eukaryota; Metazoa; Chordata; Actinopteri; Salmoniformes; Salmonidae
Exons: 3
Source: RefSeq, a predicted model, not a curated record